UUAAAUGCUAUGAUAGGAAGAGUAAUAAAUGAAUGUGUUAAAAGAGAGCUGGGUUAGGUGAAAGCUAGCAAUGCUGAAGUUUAUGAAUAUGGACCUUGAGCAUAUUAUCUGAAAUUUUAAGUAAGGUAAUACGGGACGCAGCCGUUAUAAAUGCAAAGUGAUGAAAAGCUUCUUUAGAAGUGUAAUAGUCACUUAGAGAGGUCUUUAUUGUGAGAUAAAGAUAAAUUAGAGUGGUAAAGCGUUAAUACGCCUCUAUG
Molecule: non-coding RNA, 257 nt
Filed under: Clostridium acetireducens
Lineage: Bacteria; Bacillati; Bacillota; Clostridia; Eubacteriales; Clostridiaceae
Description: T-box sequence
Rfam family: T-box leader
About the family: Uncharged tRNA acts as the effector for transcription antitermination of genes in the T-box leader family. T-boxes are found upstream of many aminoacyl-tRNA synthetase genes and some amino acid biosynthetic genes usually in Gram-positive bacteria. The anticodon of a specific tRNA base pairs to a specifier sequence within the T-box motif, and the NCCA acceptor tail of the tRNA base pairs to a conserved bulge in the T-box antiterminator hairpin.
Source: RNAcentral